RNAcentral lists this ribosomal RNA (204 nucleotides) under uncultured bacterium. RNAcentral describes it as "partial 16S ribosomal RNA". It matches the Rfam family "Bacterial small subunit ribosomal RNA", at positions 573 to 776 of the family's 1533-position model. The record is from RNAcentral.
AGGUGGUCUGGCAAGUCCGGUGUGAAAGCCCUGGGCUAAACCUGGGAACGGCAUUGGAAACUGGCAGUGUGGAGUGCGGUAGAGGGUAGCGGAAUUCCCGGUGUAGCAGUGAAAUGCGUAGAUAUCGGGAGGAACAUCCGUGGCGAAGGCGGCUACCUGGACCAGCACUGACACUGAGGCACGAAAGCGUGGGGAGCAAACAAG